CAAGUCGAGGGGUAAGGCUUCUUCGGAGAGCACACGACCGGCGCACGGGUGAGUAACGCGUAUGUAACCUUCCUCUUUCAGGAAGAUAGCUCCCGGAAACGGGAAUUAAUAUUCCAUAGUCCAUAAUAAUCACAUGAUUAGUAUGGUAAAGUUCCGACGGAAAGAGAUGGACAUGCGUGUCAUUAGUUAGUUGGUGAGGUAACGGCUCACCAAGACGACGAUGACUAGGGGUUCUGAAAGGAUGAUCCCCCACACUGGUACUGAGACACGGACCAGACUCCUACGGGAGGCAGCAGUGAGGAAUAUUGCGCAAUGGAGGCAACUCUGACGCAGCCAUGCCGCGUGCAGGAGGACGGCCCUACGGGUUGUAAACUGCUUUUCUUAACUAAGAACCGUGGAUAAUCUUAUCCACCUGACUGGUUUUGGAAUAAGCAUCGGCUAACUCCGUGCCAGCAGCCGCGGUAAUACGGAGGAUGCAAGCGUUAUCCGGAUUCACUAGGUUUAAAGGGUGCGUAGGCGGAAUAAUAAGUCAGUGGUGAAAUCUUGCGGCUCAACCGUAAAAUUGCCAUUGAUACUGUUAUUCUUGAGUAUGGUUGAGGUAGGCGGAAUGAGUAAUGUAGCGGUGAAAUGCUUAGAUAUUACUCAGAACACCGAUUGCGUAGGCAGCUUACCAAGCCAUCACUGACGCUGAGGCACGAAAGCGUGGGUAGCAAACAGGAUUAGAUACCCUGGUAGUCCACGCCGUAAA
Molecule: ribosomal RNA, 748 nt
Filed under: uncultured organism
Description: bacterial SSU rRNA
Rfam family: Bacterial small subunit ribosomal RNA
Source: RNAcentral